UGCGGUGAUGCCUCUGGUUUUUGAACUUCACAAGUGCUUCCCAGUGUUUUUCCUCCCUUCCUUAGGUGGGAGAGGACGGCUGUAGCGCGCCAGAGUUGGGUAUUUCCCUUCUCCCUGGUGGAAGGCUAGAGUGGAGUGGAGUUGGGUGUUUCUCUUUCCCUGGGUCAGUUAGGCUCUAAUAAUACCCAGCUAGUUAGGCUUGGUUAACUAGUUUCCCCUGAGGACAGUCCUUAUUAAGAAGAACAGAGCACUCUGGUGUGUUUCAAAAUGGUUCCUUUUCCCCUCUCUGUGCCAGAAGCCCAAGAGGAUUUUUCUCUAUUUCCUGUGAGGACCUGGUCAACCUUUUGGAGAUAUUGAUGCCUUCAGUUGAGAUUAAUUGGAUGUGGUUUCUAAUUAGCAAGAUAAAAAGUUGUGAAGAGGCACAAGUAAAUGAUGGCACUGUAUCGUCAACCGCUCUCCACCUCCUUUUGGACUGGUUUUGGACAAUUUUUCUAAUACAAAAUAGAUAUGCAACUUAUCUUCAUAAAAUAUGGAAUUCAAAAUUGACAAAUAGAGUUUUCCCCACUUAAAACCAUACUGCCAGAAGGGGUAAAAAUGAUCCCCUAAUUCAAAUGCCAGCCUACAGGUUAUUAAAUACCGAGAAGGAAGAAAUGUGCUCACAAGAGGUGCAAAGAACUGUGGGUGUUUAUACUUCAAGUAAUGCGAUGAAAUUGACUGUAACUAAUAGAGUGUGAAAUAGUCUCCGAAGGAGCAUAAUGAAGUCCUAAAGAAAAUAGCUUAAAACAGGAGUGGAUGAACGUCUUGAAAAUUCAAGCAAGGAAAAUCACUACUGCUUCGGAAGGAAAUCUGUCUCUUGGAUCCUGGUGUUCUUCUCAUGGGGAUGUAGUGAUUUCAAUGACUUCCUCUGGACCAUGGCUUGGCUGCACAGUACUUUAAUUCCAUUCUGGAUUUUCAUUUAAACCAAUGUGUGAGAAGCUCUUGUACAUCACUCCAAGUCCUCUUGGAUGCACCUCUUACCGCAGCCACUGCUGCAGUGCCCAGUUUCUUAAAGACGUCCCUCAGCCUCACACAGGGGCAAUUUGACAGUACCUCACCUUGGGCACAGGCUUCCUCUACCUUCCUGCUUCAAAGCUUUUUUGAGGACACAGCUUGGAACUCUUGGUGGAUCUUAUGGACACUACAGGAUGGACAACUGAGUCUAUGGGGCUACCUUGACCAAUUGGAACAGAAGCUAAUGGAUAAAUACUAUUCCCUGGGCUGCAAGUUCUGACACGCUUUUCAUAAGCCUUCUCAGAGUGUCCUACAGGAUCAAAUACUGGUGUCCCAGCCUGGUUAGUAAUGAAGCAACGAAUCUUUUAAUUUGUUUUCCUUAUUUUCCUGUUAAGCCCACCUCACCCUCAAAUUCCUGAGAUCACAUUAGUUGCCUUGCAAGUCUUUGUUUAUAGCUGUGCCUUUGAGGGAACUCAGGCUAAUGAAACAUAGAGAUGUAGCUGUUUUCUCCAGAUCUAAGCACUAUUUCGGUUGUACUGAAUAGAAACCCAAAGAACCAGGAGACUAUUAAUGAAGCUUUAAUGAGCCCUGGCACUCAUUAGACAUGGAAUCCCAAGAACUGGCUGAAGUUUCUGUCCAAUAGGAUGACAAGCUGGGAAAUUUCCUGGCCCAACACUAAGCAGCUGGAGGGGAACGGAAAGUGAAUCAGGACUUUGUAUUCCCUCCUGUCCUCCAGGCACCUGCUCCCUCCCUUGCCCCAAGCCUCCUAAGAUUGAAUUGUUCUGCUCUGAAUUUAAUGGAAGACUCUGCCCUUGGAACUGCAUCUCAGAGCCAAAAGCAAAGCUAGUAAUGAGCCCCAGGUGAUAUGUCCAUUUGCUAUUCUGCUUCACAAGUUAACUGUAGCCAAAGAAUUUUAUUUUGUGCUUUCACGAUGCAUUUUUUAAAACGUGGAUUUACUCUACAACUAAAUUCUUAUUAUACUUUUCUUCUAUAUAUUUUUCCUGUGGUGUACUUAAAUGUGAAGUUACUUAUUUUUCCUAUAGAAAAUCCUAAUACAGUUCCAAACUUCCGCUCUAAUGACCAAAAUAAUGUUCAACUUCAUUAUAAGUCCCAAUUACAGUACAUGCAAUAAGGGAUUAUGCUCAAUUCAUUUUGCAGACUCACUUUAAUUUUUACCUUUAAAAGGUAUAAUUCCCUUUAUCAGAGAUAAUGAUUGUUUCCAGUGUUCAGAUUGUCAGCGAAAUAACAAGUAGCAAAUAUUUAAAACAGUAUUUUUUAAAGUCUCCUUUCUUUUUUUUCUUCCAGAUUUAUACUGAGUUUAAAAUUUGGAUCAUUAAUCAAAGAAAAGGAUUUUAUACAGUUAGCUGCAAAUAGAGAAGUGCAUUACCAAACUAGUGUCAUUUUAAUGGACCAGAUGACACAGCUCUAAAAAAUUUUAAUAUUAAAGCCUCUUUCUUCCCUUCAGAUGGACUUAUGUGACGUAGUUAAGGCUUAUUGCAGAGUAAAAUUGCUGAUGAAUCUAUUUUUAAUUUUUCUGAGCACUAAAGCACCCUGAAGAUAGACUCUUUGAUAUACAUGCCAUGUCUAGUUGAAAACUGUGUUUUGUAAGCUGGCCUUCAAAGCAGAGAAGAGAAAUUUGAUCAUUAAUUUAUUGGUAGCUUAAUUGCAUAUUCAGUUCAUAAGCCUUAAAAAUGUAAGUUUGUCUCUGAAAACAUAUGCAUACUUAAAUUACAUAAGGAUUUGUUUAUUGUCAGUAAGGAGAAGCAGUACAUUUGAAAUAUUUUAAUAUCUAAGAUUAUUUUGUAAUUUUUCUUUAGGACACUACACUUCUGCAGUCUGUCCUUAGGCUAAGUCAACACUUUAUUAUCUUACCACUUGUUAAUUCACAGAGUCUCACUUAACCUAAGUAUUUUUGACUUUCAAAACAGAAAUACUCUUUGAAUUUUAUUCAUGGAUUUUCUUAUAAUGUUUCUUCAAUGUUCACGUUAGUUAUCCUUUGAUCAUUUUCUCUUAAGAUCCAUACACAUAAAAUAGAUUUUAAGCUUGAGGGCUGCAUAGUAAACUAUACAAUAUUUAAAUUCUUAUGGAAGUUCUUCUCAAGUUCUUUCUCUCAAUUUCACUGAAUACAGCACAACUAGCCCUAUUUUCCACACUUAUUUCCCUAAUGUAAUUUAAAUGACAGGAAAGCAGAAUGCUUAUGAAACUAAUGUCACAUGUCUUCAGUUGCUGGAGAGGCCUCUUCUCACAGAGAAAAUCUCAAAUCCAUAAUUACCAAUUGCACUUCAAGUCUGAAGGUAUAAAAGGCACACCAUCGCUUACAAAGAAUGUUGCUAAGAGGACAAAGAGGGUGUUAGGUAGUCUAAUUUAUUGAGAGAUCGAGAAAAUAAUACUGUCAGAGGCAUUAUGCUCACCAACUAUUUCACUUGUUCCUUUACAUUUCCUAGCCCUGAAAUUCAGCAGGAAGCUGUCGAUAGCAAUGGCCAAUAGGCUAUGAACAGAAGGGAAGAGAGUCGUCCACAGUUCCAUAGAGUGAACCUCAGAUGGUGGAACCUCUGCUAGCCUGAGCAGACUUCUGCAGGAGAGUUUUCCUGCAGAGUUGCUUACAGACACACC
This is a long non-coding RNA of Equus caballus (horse), 3603 nucleotides long. The record is from Ensembl. NCBI's taxonomy places the organism in Eukaryota, Metazoa, Chordata, Mammalia, Perissodactyla, Equidae.